CUACGGGUUGCUGCAGUGGGGGAUAUUGCACAAUGGGCGAAAGCCUGAUGCAGCAACGCCGCGUGAAGGAUGACGGAUUUCGGUCUGUAAGCUUCUAUCAGCAGGGAAGAAAAUGACGGUACCUGACUAAGAAGCCCCGGCUAACUACGUGCCAGCAGCCGCGGUAAUACGUAGGGGGCAAGCGUUAUCCGGAAUUACUGGGUGUAAAGGGUACGUAGGCGGCUGAUCAAGUCAGAUGUGAAAGCCCGGAGCUCAACUCCGGGAUUGCAUUUGAAACUGGUCGGCUAGAGUGCAGGAGAGGAAAGUGGAAUUCCUAGUGUAGCGGUGAAAUGCGUAGAUAUUAGGAAGAACACCAGUGGCGAAGGCGGCUUUCUGGACUGUAACUGACGCUGAGGUACGAAAGCGUGGGGAGCGAACAGGAUUAGAUACCCCCGUAGUC
This 439-nucleotide ribosomal RNA is filed under the name uncultured bacterium. RNAcentral's name for it is "partial 16S ribosomal RNA". It matches the Rfam family "Bacterial small subunit ribosomal RNA", at positions 339 to 795 of the family's 1533-position model. The record is from RNAcentral.